Gallus gallus (chicken) is the source of this 4033-nucleotide long non-coding RNA. RefSeq lists it as uncharacterized. Lineage: Eukaryota; Metazoa; Chordata; Aves; Galliformes; Phasianidae. The transcript has 2 exons. The record is from RefSeq and is a predicted model, not a curated record.
AACAAAAAACAAAAAAAAAAAACCACUUGUUCUUCACUGUCUGGCAUAACCUACCUUUGUGGCCUGCUCAGGAAAACUCUGGCUUGUGAACAGAGGGAUACAACCUGCUGAGGAAUGGCUUGUGAGUAAGUAGCUAGAGUGCAGUGUUUUGGUUUCAGCAGUGAGGAAUUUCUAUCAAGCUGGAAGUCAAUUUCUUAGUGGAGGUAUGUAAUCAUAGCAGUAUUUAGUCACUAGAAGGUUUUAUUUGUUCUGCAGAAGCCCCAUGCUGGGCCCCAGCAACCUGAACAGGCAGCUGCUCAUGUCAGCAGCAGAAUGAACCCGCCAUUGAAAAUACAUUUUGCUUUCAAAAAUCAACUCAAAUAUUCAGCCUGGUCUAGUAUUAGAUAUGGAGGUUGGUGGCCCUGCAUGCAGCAGGGGGUUAGAGCUUGAUGAUCCUUGAGGUUCCUUCCAACCCAAACCAUUCCAUAGUUCUAUGGUUAACAAUGCAAAUCCUUCCUUUCUCUUCCCAGAUGCUCUAAGAAAAGAGUACUGAAUCUUUAAAAGAUGCAAUCUCUCCUUAGUAAGGCUUAGAAACUUAGUCUUCCAAACGUAAUAAUCACCAGGCUGCCCCUCUCCUACAGUAUUGGAACCAAUCAGGUAGCAAAAGGCUGUAUUGAAUAGUUAUACGUGAUAUUGCCAAGUAGUAGAAGCUUUUACAAUAAUCAAUGAAAUGAUGUAGUACCUUAAAGCACUUAAAUUGCAAUCUCUUUUAUUUAUUGAGUACAUAGGCAAUACUCCACUAUAUUUACAUAUAAGACCUUUGUAAAAUCGCUAUAGUACUUGUCAAAUGUUUAGCCCUGGCAUUAAUCCAUUUUGUUGGAGUCUUUCAGGAAAUGCUGAUUGGCACCUGCCAUGAGUAAGUGUUGUGAAACACCCUCCUUGACCCCAACAUUUGUGGAACACCCUCAUGCUUCAGGGUCUAGUGAACAAAUGAGUUUUUAAGACUCCAAGUCCUUUUCCCCUUCUAGUGAUAUUAGUCUUAAUUACAAAGGGAAAGUUCCACUUGAAGGUGGGGCAGUUUGCCCUUUCAAAGAUGUAGUUUUAUUUUCCAGUUCUCUAAUACAAGCUUUUAAAAGCUCAUUUUCAUCCUUUAACUCUUCCUCUGAGGAUGAAUGUGUGUUAAUGGUGAGUAGUAACAGCAUCUGCUGUGGCAUGGCUGCUGCUACUCCUUCCUCAGUUGUCAAAAAGUUUUGUCCUAAUUUAUUCAAGAAGUUGGCCAUUUUUGAAGGGGAUUUAAUAAUGGGACCACUGUCCCAUUUAGGUCUCCAUUCUUCAAUAGUCUGAGCAGUGCUUAGCCAUGGGGACCCCAGGAACCCCAGGGUUUCCCCCAGGAGUUCCUCUUUUAGUAUAUUUGGAGGGGUACAGUGACCAAUUCAUAUAUAUAUAUAUAUAUGUUUUUUUAGGUGAACCAUCAUAAAUGAGUAUCUGGCUGACUUGCCAAGUGUAACACUACAAUAUGAUGGAAAGAACCACAAUAAGAGCAGGGUGACAAAGCCUUCGGUUGCAGCAAAUGAGAACGAGCCCAAAUGCAGCAGCCACAAGACACAAAAGAAGAGAAGAAAAAGAGCAGCUUACCUUUAGAAGGCCUCCAGUAGAGAGGGGUCCCCAACAAGAUACCCUCACCUCCACUACCAACGCUUAAAUGAGGUCUAGGAAGGGGUGGAUCCUGGCUCCAGCCCUUCUGGUCACUCAGGUACAUUGCAUGCAGCUGAGCUGCCCUGGGCUGGCCCUUCCUUCCCACCAGGUGCUCAAUCACUGCUUCAAGCUGUGACUCAGCGUUUCCUCUACACUCCUCCAUUCAUUAUUUUCAAGUUUCUGUUUCAUGGAGAAUAUUGGAGGAAAAAAGGUCAUUUUUAAUUGACAAAAAAUUAUUUCUCCUGCUUCCAUUCUUAAAUCAAAGAUCUGCUGUGACAGCUAGGUUCACACGUGGCUCAGUCUGAUAUAUCUGAGAGCUGUUCCUGCCCAUCAGUAGUGGGUUUCUCCUGGGGUCCUGCUUGUGAUACAGCUGUGAUCCAACAUCAGUAAGCAUAAGGUAGUCUGUUGCUAUGUUCGGUGACUUGUUGGUCGGCGUGUCUUCAUGUUAUUGCCUCAUCCUUGAGCUGAUAAUGUGAAGACAUAUCAAGAGCCACUGGUGGUUGCAUGGUAGAACUUCCAGAUUUCUCUUCCUGCCACUGUAGCCUAGAGAUGCAGGAGCACUGUAGAAGUUGUAUUUCUACAUUGGUUACAUCACUCAAUGAAAGGAGACUUUGCAAAUAUAUCAGCACAUCUUAAGAAGGGCAGCACAGUGUGCUGGCUUCGGCUUCUCACCUUGAGUAACUUCAAACUACUGAAUUCCAGGGGGAAGUAAAGAAAGGUGCAAGUGUGUGUGAGAAAGAGCAAGAGUGAGCCUUUUAAGUAGGAGAAGAUAAUGCAGCUUUCAAAUCACUUCUCCUGCAAGUGAAAAUUACCUCGUGGUGUAGACAAAUACUGGCCCUGCCUGUUUCCCUCUAGGGACUUUAUCACUGUCCAUCAUUACAAUCUCUACAGCCCGGGUUUUGGGAAAGAUAAGAUUAUUGAAAACCCAAGGCAAAACACUCUUGAAAAAUGGCUUUUUACAAUAAACAAGAAAGGCAGCCUCAUGCAGAGGAGAGGCUGUGCACUGAGGAUGACAGCCGUUCCCAUGACAACGCCAAAAACCUUUCACCAUUGGGUAUCAACAGGAGAACAUCUCCCACGGCAAGCGCAGGAAGCCAGGAGCCUGCUUAGUCCUCGUCUCAUAAAUCAUCCUGAUGGACAGCACUGAUCAGCACUGCCAGUUGUGCACGUGCAGCUCACCUCCCAGGAACCACCUGCCUUCGGAUGAAAGGAAGACCAAAUAAACUUAAAGCUCCAGAGCUGGCUGUAUGUAAAAGGAAAAUUAAGCUCUGCUAGUGGUACAAGAUUUCCCUCUGUUCUCUAGCUGAGAAAUCACAAUUUUUAAUGAUGAAAAACCAAGCAAAAAUCCAGGACAUCUUAAAACCAUUAAAGAGGACCACUGAAGAAGCCAUGUGGUUUUGCUCAGCUGCAGAGAAAUCUCUCAUUGACUUGGGAUGGAGAGACAAGGGCAGCUUGGGAGAAUUUUGCUAUAUUUCAUGCUGAUCCUGUAGUGUUCAGGUUCUGAUUCAACCACUUUCCUUCUGUGUUUGGAACAAGACGGUAAAAAAGCAUUUUUCAGCAUGAGAUAUUCAGAAGACCUGUCAGCUCCCUGAUAUGUGGGGCCCAGCUUCUGCAGUUAUCUUAAUGUAUGAGAAGCUGCUUUCUUUUCUAAGGAAAAAACCCUUAUGCAUUUGGAAAGAAUAUAUAUAUAUAUAUAUAAUGUGCCCAGAAAGCUCUGUAGUCAGAGGUAAAAAAAAAAGAGCUACAGAACUCCUUAAUUUCCUUAAAUAUCCCUUUUGCUCUAAAGACAAAGCUGCUUUUUCUGGUCUAGAGGAAUUGAGUACAUUGUGCUUUAUUGGUAGGAGUUAGCAAUAUUCCUCCAUAAAUAGGGCUGUUCUGUUAUCUUUAGCUUUUCAAAGCACGUUUUUAUCCUUCAUUCUGAAUAUUUUGAGUAUUUAAAUACGAAGAUCGCUGACUCUUCUUUUUUGUUUAUUUAUUUUUUUUGUUUUAGAGGAAGUUUUUCUCAAGUCCUCUCCAGCCACAACAUUGGUUGCUUGGUGAUGGUGUUGAUACUGCAAGCGUAGGAGUAGAGAGUCCCCAGCUGUGGCAGGGCUGAGAUCUGCACCCUGAGCCCCAGUUAAGCUCCUGGCUCCUGCAUACCUCUGAGGCUGCAGCGUUUCUACUCCCCCCUUCAUCACUUCAGUGUCAAAGGUGGGUUCCAAACUUUGUCAUCUUUACAAAGGGCUCAGAGACCCCCAGCAAGCUGCUCUGGAUGCAGGCAACAAGGCUUGUUUCAUCCUGCCUAUGCGACGUGCCAUCUCCUCCAGUCAUCUCCACUAAUCUCAUUAAAGCUCUGUUUUUAUGAGUUGGAGAUUUGUAA